AGAGUUUGAUCCUGGCUCAGAGUGAACGCUGGCGGCAGGCCUAACACAUGCAAGUCGAACGGCAGCACAGUAAGAGCUUGCUCUUAUAGGUGGCGAGUGGCGGACGGGUGAGGAAUACAUCGGAAUCUACUCUUUCGUGGGGGAUAACGUAGGGAAACUUACGCUAAUACCGCAUACGACCUACGGGUGAAAGCGGAGGACCUUCGGGCUUCGCGCGGUUGAAUGAGCCGAUGUCGGAUUAGCUAGUUGGCGGGUAAAGGCCCACCAAGGCGACGAUCCGUAGCUGGUCUGAGAGGAUGAUCAGCCACAACUGGAACUGAGACACGGUCCAGACUCCUACGGGAGGCAGCAGUGGGGAAUAUUGGACAAUGGGCGCAAGCCUGAUCCAGCCAUGCCGCGUGGGUGAAGAAGGCCUCGGGUUUGAAAGCCCUUUUGUUGGGAAAGAAAAGCAGUCGGUUAAUACCCGAUUGUUCUGACGGUACCCAAAGAAUAAGCACCGGGCUAACUUCGUGCCAGCAGCCGCGGUAAUACGAAGGGUGCAAGCGUUACUCGGAAUUACUGGGCGUAAAGCGUGCGUAGGUGGUGGUUUAAGUCUGUUGUGAAAGCCUGGGCUCAACCUGGGAAUUGCAGUGGAUACUGGAUCACUAGAGUGUGGUAGAGGGUAGCGGAAUUCCCGGUGUAGCAGUGAAAUGCGUAGAGAUCGGGAGGAACAUCCGUGGCGAAGGCGGCUACCUGGACCAACACUGACACUGAGGCACGAAAGCGUGGGGAGCAAACAGGAUUAGAUACCCCUGGUAGUCCACGCCCUAAACGAUGCGAACUGGAUGUUGGGUGCAAUUUGGCACGCAGUAUCGAAGCUAACGCGUUAAGUUCGCCGCCUGGGGAGUACGGUCGCAAGACUGAAACUCAAAGGAAUUGACGGGGGCCCGCACAAGCGGUGGAGUAUGUGGUUUAAUUCGAUGCAACGCGAAGAACCUUACCUGGUUCUUGACAUCCACGGAACUUUCCAGAGAUGGAUUGGUGCCCUCGGGAACCGUGAGACAGGUGCUGCAUGGCUGUUCGUCAAGCUCGUCCGUGAGAUGUUGGGUUAAGUCCCGCAACGAGCAGCAACCCUUUGUCACUUAGUUGCCAGCACGUAAUGGUGGGAACUCUAAGGAGACCGGCGGUGACAAACCGGAGGAAGGUGGGGGAUGACGUCAAGUCAUCAUGGCCCUUACGACCAGGGCUACAACACGUACUACAAUGGUAGGGACAGAGGGCUGCAAACCCGCGAGGGCAAGCCAAUCCCAGAAACCCUAUCUCAGUCCGGAUUGGAGUCUGCAACUCGACUCCAUGAAGUCGGAAUCGCUAGUAAUCGCAGAUCAGCAUUGCUGCGGUGAAUACGUUCCCGGGCAAUUGUACACACACGCCACGUCACACCAUGGGAGUUUGUUGCACCAGAAGCAGGUAGCUUAACCUUCGGGAGGGCGCUUGCCACGGUGUGGCCGAUGACUGGGGUGAAGUCGUAACAAGGUAGCCGUAUCGGAAGGUGCGGCUGGAUCACCUCCUU
Molecule: ribosomal RNA, 1549 nt
Filed under: Xanthomonas axonopodis
Lineage: Bacteria; Pseudomonadati; Pseudomonadota; Gammaproteobacteria; Lysobacterales; Lysobacteraceae
Description: bacterial SSU rRNA
Rfam family: Bacterial small subunit ribosomal RNA
Source: RNAcentral